GGAGGAUUGGCAGAAUGGUAUUGCAGCGGUCUUGAAAACCGUCGCCGAAAGGCUUGUGGGUUCGAAUCCUACAUCCUCCG
Molecule: transfer RNA, 80 nt
Filed under: Calditrichota bacterium
Lineage: Bacteria; Pseudomonadati; Calditrichota
Description: Calditrichaeota bacterium (bioreactor metagenome) tRNA-Ser
Rfam family: tRNA
About the family: Transfer RNA (tRNA) molecules are approximately 80 nucleotides in length. Their secondary structure includes four short double-helical elements and three loops (D, anti-codon, and T loops).
Source: RNAcentral